AUCUCCUACAUUGCAAGUGUUUUCUUUACCACUGAGCCACCUGUGAAGCCCAGGAACUGAGAUACCUGGAUCAAAAACAAGUCAGAGACUUGGACACAGAGGAAAACAUAAAGAAGCCAAUCAACAAAAUAUAGUUUUUUUCCUUCCCACAGAUUGGGCUGAGCAAACUGCCCUGGCAAGAGGCCACCAGAAAUUCCAGUUGCAGAAGACUGUAAUCUUCCUUCACAAAAAGGCCUGGAAAGUGCCGCUGCUGCUAAGUCGCUUCCGUUGUGUCCGACUCUGUGCGACCCCAUAGACCGCAGCCCACCAGGCUCCUCCGUCCUUGGGAUUCUCCAGGCAAGAACACUGGAGUGGGUUGCCAGUUCCUUCUCCAAUGCAUGAAAGUGAAAAGUGAGAGUGAAGUCGCUCAGUCUUGUCCGACUCUUCGCGACCGCGUGGACUGCAGCCUACCAGGCUCCUCCGUCCAUGGGAUUUUCCAGGCAAGAGUAUUGGAGUGGGGUGCCAUUGCCUUCUCCAAUGCCCUAUUGCUCUUAAACAUCUCUAACCCUUACUCAAGAAAAGGGCAAAGGUUAAGUAAAAAUGUUUGGCAUAGUCGAUUUCUUAAGAAUAAUAAAAAUGCAUACUCACACUAUGGAUAAACUUUUUAAAGUAUGUUCUGCCUUAUUUUCUGAGGUAUAAAAAUAUUUUAAGGCAAUUUCAAUGAAUCAGAUUUCAAGAAACUACUAGAACAUCUUUUGUGAGUUGCUUUCAUUUUGUCUGAAUUAUGAUAUGUAUUUCAACACUGUGCUCUACCAGAGUAUGUAGGUUUGUCUGUCACUUCACAGCUGUCAAAGGGAAAUUCUUAUUUUAAAUCUCUAUAUCAUCAUUGAAUAGUUCUAAUAAUAAAAGGCCUAAAUUUUAGGUCCUCAGGGAUAUCAAGGUAUCUCAUCUACUGUGUUGUUCAAGCUCUGGCAGCAUGUUGUAAAACAGAUAUGUAAUAAGCAAUAGAGGGUAAG
This is a long non-coding RNA of Bos taurus (domestic cattle), 995 nucleotides long. Lineage: Eukaryota; Metazoa; Chordata; Mammalia; Artiodactyla; Bovidae. The record is from Ensembl.